RNAcentral lists this ribosomal RNA (429 nucleotides) under Bacillota bacterium. RNAcentral's name for it is "Firmicutes bacterium partial 16S ribosomal RNA". It matches the Rfam family "Bacterial small subunit ribosomal RNA", at positions 355 to 776 of the family's 1533-position model. Lineage: Bacteria; Bacillati; Bacillota. The record is from RNAcentral.
UGGGGAAUUUUGCGCAAUGGGCGAAAGCCUGACGCAGCAACGCCGCGUGGGUGAUGAAGGUCUUCGGAUCGUAAAACCCUGUCGUCGGGGACGAAGGUGGAGGGGUUAAUAGCCUCUUUGCUUGACGCUACCCGGAGAGGAAGCCCCGCCUAACUCUGUGCCAGCAGCCGCGGUAAUACAGAGGGUGCAAGCGUUAUUCGGAAUUAUUGGGCGUAAAGGGCGCGUAGGCGGCUUUUUAAGUGAGAUGUGUAAUCCCUGAGCACAACUUGGGAACUGCAUCUCAUACUGGGAGGCUAGAGUAAUGGAGAGGGUGGUAGAAUUCCACGUGUAGCGGUGAAAUGCGUAGAGAUCUGGAGGAAUACCAGUGGCGAAGGCGGCCACCUGGACAGUAACUGACGCUGAGGCGCGAAAGUGUGGGUAGCGAACAGG